AGGACAUCGUCACGCGUACAUAUCCAGCCCCCGUCGUUGAGGAGAGGGACGACGUUAUUGGGAUGACCUCCCCCAUUGAUACCGCAAUACCAUCCCAUCAGUCACAUGAGGGUCAUCGACAGGAUGGGGCAUCGGUUGACCCUUCGGUGACUUCACCGAUCCGAUCUGAGG
Mangifera indica (mango) is the source of this 171-nucleotide long non-coding RNA. RefSeq lists it as uncharacterized. The record is from RefSeq and is a predicted model, not a curated record. NCBI's taxonomy places the organism in Eukaryota, Viridiplantae, Streptophyta, Magnoliopsida, Sapindales, Anacardiaceae. The transcript has 3 exons.